Molecule: non-coding RNA, 208 nt
Filed under: Desulfosarcina cetonica
Lineage: Bacteria; Pseudomonadati; Thermodesulfobacteriota; Desulfobacteria; Desulfobacterales; Desulfosarcinaceae
Source: RNAcentral
AUAAUUACUGAAUCAUCAGGUUUCACAUGCAGUACCAGAGCUGUUCGCUGCAUUGAAUGAAUAGGGAAAUCCGUGAAAAUCGGAUACGGGCCCGCCGCUGUAACCGGGGACGAAAACUGCACCAGGGUCACUUGCCUUCGGGUGGGGAAGACGCAGCCAGUAGGACGAUCCGGAAGUCAGAAGACCUGCCUGAUGGUGAAUGCCUUCC